This 329-nucleotide unclassified non-coding RNA is filed under the name soil metagenome. Its description in RNAcentral is "partial contains 5.8S ribosomal RNA, internal transcribed spacer 2, and large subunit ribosomal RNA". The stretch from base 1 to 120 matches the Rfam family "5.8S ribosomal RNA", at positions 35 to 154 of the family's 154-position model. The record is from RNAcentral.
GAUGAAGAACGUAGUGAAAUGCGAUAAGUAAUGUGAAUUGCAGAAUUCAGUGAAUCAUCGAAUCUUUGAACGCACAUUGCGCCCCCUGGUAUUCCGGGGGGCAUGCCUGUCCGAGCGUCAUUACAACCCUCAAGCUCAGCUUGGUGUUGGGCCCCGCCGCCCCGGCGGGCCCUAAAGUCAGUGGCGGUGCCGUCCGGCUCCGAGCGUAGUAAUCCUUCUCGCUCUGGAGGUCCGGUCGUGUGCUCGCCAGCAACCCCCAAUUUUUUUCAGGUUGAACUCGGAUCAGGUAGGGAUACCCGCUGAACUUAAGCAUAUCAAUAAGCGGAGGA